GUGAAUGUACUCUUUAUGAGGCUUUGCGCUGCCCUUGUGGCAGCUAGCCGAAGGUUUCGCAAGAAGCCGAUGUCAAUUUGAAUCCUUUUUAAAAUACGACUGAUCAAAACUGCAGAUAGAAAUAUCUGCAUGCAAUUGAAAUACAACUUUCAACAGUGGAUGUCUAGGCUCGCACACCGAUGAAGAACGCUGCGAACUGCGAUACGUAAUGCGAAUUGCAGAAUUCAGUGAGUCAUCAAAAUUUUGAACGCAUAUUGCACUUCCGGGUUAGUCCUGGGAGUAUGUUUGUAUCAGUGUCCGUGAACACAAACUUGUUUCAUUUCUUGAUUGGGAUGGAGCAGACUGUGAAGGUCUUGUAAUUACAAGUCCUUUUAAACGACGGUACCUAUGCGUCCUAGUGAGAUGUAUUAUUUAAAGGUAUGCCUGCGCUCCUUUCGAAAGUCUUGUGUGGCGGCACACAGCACUCAAAGAGAGAGCAAAUCGCGGUAGUUUUGCUUGUACUUCGGUACGAGUGGACACAUAUUGCUUUUUGUGAUUUCUGCGAGUCUGUUGUCAAAGUACAAGGCACGUAAGGAGAGUUGGUAUGCUGGUGCAUUUCUUGGCGUAUGGAGGCAAAUUGGGAAUUCAAUCCA
This 632-nucleotide unclassified non-coding RNA is filed under the name Saprolegnia sp. BMF12. Its description in RNAcentral is "sequence contains ITS1, 5.8S rRNA gene, ITS2". The stretch from base 145 to 299 matches the Rfam family "5.8S ribosomal RNA". Lineage: Eukaryota; Oomycota; Saprolegniomycetes; Saprolegniales; Saprolegniaceae. The record is from RNAcentral.